GAUGAACGCUGGCGGCGUGCCUAAUACAUGCAAGUCGAGCGAACGGACGAGAAGCUUGCUUCUCUGAUGUUAGCGGCGGACGGGUGAGUAACACGUGGAUAGCCUACCUAUAAGACUGGGAUAACUUCGGGAAACCGGAGCUAAUACCGGAUAAUAUUUUGAACCGCAUGGUUCAAAAGUGAAAGACGGUCUUGCUGUCACUUAUAGAUGGAUCUGCGCUGCAUUAGCUAGUUGGUAAGGUAACGGCUUACCAAGGCAACGAUGCAUAGCCGACCUGAGAGGGUGAUCGGCCACACUGGAACUGAGACACGGUCCAGACUCCUACGGGAGGCAGCAGUAGGGAAUCUUCCGCAAUGGGCGAAAGCCUGACGGAGCAACGCCGCGUGAGUGAUGAAGGUCUUCGGAUCGUAAAACUCUGUUAUUAGGGAAGAACAUAUGUGUAAGUAACUGUGCACAUCUUGACGGUACCUAAUCAGAAAGCCACGGCUAACUACGUG
Molecule: ribosomal RNA, 497 nt
Filed under: uncultured bacterium
Lineage: Bacteria
Description: partial 16S ribosomal RNA
Rfam family: Bacterial small subunit ribosomal RNA
Source: RNAcentral